RNAcentral lists this ribosomal RNA (253 nucleotides) under uncultured bacterium. RNAcentral describes it as "partial 16S ribosomal RNA". It matches the Rfam family "Bacterial small subunit ribosomal RNA", at positions 524 to 776 of the family's 1533-position model. The record is from RNAcentral.
UACAGAGGUGGCAAGCGUUGUUCGGAAUUACUGGGCGUAAAGGGCGCGUAGGCGGCCUUCUAAGUCAGACGUGAAAUCCCCCGGCUUAACCUGGGAACUGCGUCUGAUACUGGGAGGCUUGAGUAUGGAAGAGGGAUGUAGAAUUCCAGGUGUAGCGGUGAAAUGCGUAGAUAUCUGGAGGAAUACCGGUGGCGAAGGCGGCAUCCUGGACCAUAACUGACGCUGAGGCGCGAAAGCUAGGGGAGCAAACGGG